UGCCAAUUUGCCAGCAUUGCAAAGUAUCAUUGGCACUGUGGCACACUACCACACCACACAUAUAUGCGAGAACCGAUCCAUCUUGGGCGGCUAAACCAUUUGCAACAGCUGAGGUGCAUGUUCUCCUAUGUCAAACAGUGUGUGACGACUGAGGCACCUGCGAUCUCCGCCACCGCCGGCGGCGGCUAGAUGUGGCACGGCUCUCAGCAGGGGCGCCGCACCGACACAGCAACCGCCGUUCGUCCACGCUGGCUGUCUCCUAGAGCGCCGUCCCGAGUCACUGCACUACGCGCGCCAUCCCGAUCCACUCCACCAGUAUCCACGUGAACAAGAUGUUCUCCGUGGCGUCAGUGGUAUCAAGCCUUGCAACCUCCGUUCUUGGAAAGGCUGCAUCCUUUGGUACUGACUGGGCUGUUAAUGAGAUCAAGUCAGCCUGGAACGCCCAGGAAGAGCUUCGCAAGUUGGAAAACUCAUUGAAAUUUAUCUGUGGUGUUCUUCGAGAUGCUGAGGACAGGGAGUCAGCUUCUCAUGUCCUUCACGAGUGGCUGGACUGUUUGAAGGAUGCGGUCUAUGACAUAGAUGAUCUUUUGGACGAUGCGUCCACCGAAGCUCUCAUGUUACAUGUUCAUAAGGGUUUAUCUCGCAUUGAGUCUAUGAGCCUUCUCGUUACUGGUCCAUUCAAAUUGAGUCACAAAAUAGAACAAGUUCGUAAAAAGCUUGAUGAGAUAGCAAAGGACAGAGGGCAAUUUGGUUUAAAUGAGCAACCAAUUAUUGACAGACGGAUGUUCAGGAGUAGCAACAGGGAAACUCAUUCCUUCAUCACCGAAUCAGAUAUUAUUGGAAGAGCUGAAGCCAAAAACAAGAUAAUUGAAAAGAUAUUGACAGCUAAAGACUCAAAACCCUUGUCUGUUCUUCCGAUUGUCGGUUUAGGAGGAAUUGGAAAAACUGCUUUAGCAAAAUGGAUUUACAAUGAUGUUCAGGUUACCCAGAAUUUUGAGAUGAAAUUAUGGGUUUGUGUAUCUGAUGUGUUCAAUUUAAAAAAGAUCUUGGAUGAUAUAAUACAAUCAGGUACAGGUGAAAGCAACAUGAAGCUAAAUCUAGAGAUGCUGCAAAGGAAGUUGUGUGCACUUUUGAAGGAAAGAAGAUAUUUUCUAGUCCUAGAUGACCUCUGGAAUGAUAAACUUGCAGACUGGGAAGAGCUGAGAAGGCUGCUAUCUAGUGGUGGAAGGGGAAGUGUCAUUAUAGUUACCACACGCAGUUCAAAUGUUGCAUCAAUGGUGAAGACUAUGGAGCCAUAUGACGUGGCAAAACUGCCAGAUGAUAAGUGCAUGCAAAUAUUUACCCGGUACGCAUUCAGAGGUGAGGAAGAGGACAGGAUGGACCAACAGUUAGUAAGUAUUGGGGAGUCCAUUGUGAAAAAGUGUUGUGGUGUUCCUUUGGCAGCCAGGACGCUGGGUUCCCUAUUGUCAAGAUGUCGAGAUGUUGAAGAAUGGCGACACGUUCUGGAGGACAAUUUGUGGGAUAUGGAGCAGAACACCGAUGAUAUCUUGCCAGCAUUGAAAUUGAGUUAUGAUGCACUUCCACCUCAUCUACGACCAUGCUUUUCUUGCUUGUCAGUUUUUCCAAAAGGCCACACAAUUUACCAGGACAUUUUGAUUAUGUUUUGGAUGGCUCUGGGAUUGAUUCGCCCAUCUAAUAAACGCACUCAGCUACAAACUGGUGAGAAGUAUUUUAAAGAACUACUUGGGAGAUCUUUAUUCCAGGAUCAGUGCGUCCUUUCUGAUAACAGGGUUUUUUACUGUAAAAUGCAUGAUCUUAUUCAUGACCUUGCAACCUUGGUAUCCCAAAAGGAGCAUGCCAUUGUAAGUUCUGAAAAGUUAACAGUCUCUGAGAGUGUCAGGCACCUAGUUUGGGACCGCGAGAACUUCUCCGUAGCACUCAAUUUUCCUGAGGAGCUGAUCAAGCUUUGGUACCGUGAGCAAAUCCUUCAUUGAUGACCUUUUCUCAAGUUUUACACUCCUCCGUGCCGUGACAUUUUUUGGAGUUGACUUUGAAGAACUGCCGAGUUCCGUUGGAGAUUUGAAGCACCUGAGGUACCUGCUUAUACAGUUCAAUGGCAAGCUCAGAUUAUUGCCGGAGCCUUUAUGCAAGCUGGUGAAUUUAGAAAUGCUUCAUCUCUAUGGCUGCAGCCAGUUAGAGGAGCUCCCAAAUGAAGCUCGCAACCUUGUUAGCCUUGUAUACUUGAACCUCACAUCAAAGCAGAAGUAUCUAAGGCUGUGGGGUUGGCCCUCUCUCGCGAUUCUGAAAAUGAGCUAUUGUUAUGAACUGGUAUCAUUGGAGGAGGGUUUUGACAGCUUGAGAGCCCUCCGAGAGCUACUCAUCUUCGAUUGUCCGAAGCUGGCCGCUCUCCCCUCCAGCAUAUGGCAGCUCUCCACACUUGUUGCAUUGAGUAUUAGUGGCUGUGGAGAGCUAGAUUUGAUGGUGCCGGCUGGGGAAGCCUCGGGAGGACUACAUAGUCUUCAGAACCUGCAUCUUGGUCGUCUUCCAAAGUUGGCACACCUUCCAGAGAGCUUUAAGUCUGCUUCUUCCUCUCUUCAAUAUAUUCAGAUUGUCAGUUGCGAAAACCUGGAGAGGCUGCCAAGCUACAUCCAAGACUUCCGUUCUCUUAAGAGAGCCGUGAUUAACGGCUGCCCUGAGCUGAGCAAAAGAUGCGCGGCCGAAUCCGGAGAGGAUUACCCUUUUGUAAGCCAUAUUCCCGAGGUGUAUAUGGAAGGGACUCUGCUAUCGAAAGCAGGCCCAUCUGCUGGAGAAUCCUCUUCACUCGAAUUAGAGCUAGCUUUUGGAGAAGCAAAGCCAUGGCCUGGGCUCCUAGCCCCCUCGGGUAGGGCCGGUAGGUGUGUGUCCGAGUUCAAUUAGAGUCUAAUACGUAUAUAAGGUAGCAGGAUUUGGAAAUAAGAAGGUUUUGUCCCGUAGAAGGUUUUCCCUGUUAUUUCCAAAUCUGUACGAGUCGGUUUCUCUUUCUUUUUUAAGUUGGUUUAGUCUCCAAGUUGUAUGGAGAUACAAUUACUCCCUCCGUCCCGUGAUACUCCCUCUGUCCUAAAAUAAGCCACAUUCCCGAGGUGUACAUCGAUGGGACUCUACUGUCAAAAGCAAAGCUCACCUGGUGAAGAAUGUUCUUCGCUCGAUUGAGUUCCUCGGCUACCUAUUUAUUUUAUCCGUUAGACUUACACGUGGAUUCUUUGCUGCAUUUGUAUUGUACCAUCCAUAUUAUGAUUUUUCUUUGCGUGUGAUAUUGCCCUUUUCAGGCAAAAAACUGUAAUGUUUGUGAUGAAUAAUGCCGCUUUUGCUGCUGCU
Molecule: RNA transcript, 3354 nt
Organism: Triticum aestivum (bread wheat)
Lineage: Eukaryota; Viridiplantae; Streptophyta; Magnoliopsida; Poales; Poaceae
Gene name: putative disease resistance protein RGA1
Exons: 2
Source: RefSeq, a predicted model, not a curated record